This is a long non-coding RNA of Patella vulgata (common limpet), 859 nucleotides long. RefSeq lists it as uncharacterized. The transcript is spliced from 3 exons. The record is from RefSeq and is a predicted model, not a curated record. NCBI's taxonomy places the organism in Eukaryota, Metazoa, Mollusca, Gastropoda, Patellidae.
CUAAUCACUAAUAUUUUUGGUUUCUCUGCUCAGUAUAGUCGAGAAGCUGAAAGAUACACCAACAUGCGGUUUCUGUUGACCAUUGUUCUUUUGGUGGCUGUAGUCAUGGUUGCUGUCGACGCGCACAGUAGAGCUCGUCAUCGUCGUUACAGUCGAAACCAUAGAAUCGUGCGGAAACCAUCAGUCGUAUUCCAGAACAAGAGAACAUGGUUGAAGAACAUACCCUGCCAUAGUGUAAAGAGGUCAGGUCUCUGUGAGAGAUGCUGUGAGAAAAACCAUGUAUUCCAUCAUAAGAGACGAUAUCUGAAGAACUUAAAAUGUAGUAUUUUAAAGACAUCAGGCCUUUGUAAUAGAUGCUGUGAUCCGUGUUACAAAGUAGAGUGUUGUGCACCUCUAACAUGUGCAGGGGGUGUCUGUAAAUGCAACGGUAACGUGUGUAAAAAGGAUCAAAUCUGCAUUGGAACUGGCGUUGAUGCCUGCUGUGUCGAUAAUCCUGUUGCAUCUACAACAAAAACAACACCCCUAACGGCUGUUCCGACAUCCCCAACGGAUACAGGUGCUUCCCCGACGGUUGCAGGGACUACGACAGGGUCCCCAACGGCUGCAGGACCUCCCCCAUCGGUUCCAGGGACUUCCCCGACGGUUGCAGGGAAUACGACAGGGUCCCCAACGGCUGCAGGACCUCCCCCAACGCCUGCAACCUAGGGACUUCCCCAACGGCUGAAGGGACUUCCUCAACGGCUGCAGAAUAGUUUGCAUUAUUUUUGAAGCAUUUUGAUUACAGUAUUUACAAAUUAAAUACCGCAAAUAUUGUUUUUUAAGAAGAAAAGAAUAUAUAAUAAAUAAAGUUCACAUCUUG